CCUACGGGCGGCAGCAGUGAGGAAUAUUGGUCAAUGGACGCAAGUCUGAACCAGCCAUGCCGCGUGCAGGAAGACGGCUCUAUGGGUUGUAACCUGCUUUUGUACGGGGGUAAAAGGAGACACGUGUAUCUGGAUGAAAGUACCGUAUGAAUAAGGAUCGGCUAACUCCGUGCCAGCAGCCGCGGUAAUACGGAGGAUCCGAGCGUUAUCGGGAUUUAUUGGGUUGAAAGGGUGCGUAGGUGGUCAGGUAAGUUAGAUGUGAAAGCUCGAGGCUCAACAUCUAAAUUGCCUCUGAUCCUGUCUGUCUAGAGUAUAGUUGCGGAAGGCGGAAUGUGUGGUGUAGCGGUGAAAUGCUUAGAUAUCACGCAGAACACCGAUUGCGAAGGCAGCUUUCCAAGCUGUUACUGACGCUGAGGCACGAAAGCGUGGGGAGCGAACAGGAUUAGAUACCCUUGUAGUC
Molecule: ribosomal RNA, 460 nt
Filed under: uncultured bacterium
Lineage: Bacteria
Description: partial 16S ribosomal RNA
Rfam family: Bacterial small subunit ribosomal RNA
Source: RNAcentral